Oncorhynchus keta (chum salmon) is the source of this 745-nucleotide long non-coding RNA. RefSeq lists it as uncharacterized. Lineage: Eukaryota; Metazoa; Chordata; Actinopteri; Salmoniformes; Salmonidae. The record is from RefSeq and is a predicted model, not a curated record. The transcript has 3 exons.
UGGAGAUGGUAGACUAGACUGGAGAAGGAAGACUAGACUGGACAUGGUAGACUAGACUGGAGAAGGCAGACUAGACUGGAGAUGGUAGACUAGACUGGAGAAGGCAGACUAGACUGGAGAUGGCAGACUAGACUGGAUAUGGUAGACUACACUGGAUAUGGUAGCCUAGACUGGAGAUGGCAGACUAGACUGGAGAUGGUAGACUAGACUGGAGAUGGUAGACUACACUGGAGAUGGUAGACUAGACUGGAGAUGGUAGACUACACUGGAGAUGGCAGACUAGACUGGAGAUGGUAGACUAGACUGGAGAUGGUAGACUGGAGAUGGCAGACUAGACUGGAGAUGGUAGACUACACUGGAGAUGGCAGACGAGACUGGAGAUGGUUGAUGAUGAUAAGUCUGACCUUUUCUGAAAUACAUCUCGUUAUGUCUCGAUACACCUGUAUCAGUGGGGAAUGUUUUGGUGCCCGCGUUGACAAGACAGCAUGCCUGAUAUGAUUCUCCCUGAGGUAUCACGUACACAAGACAGCAUGCCUGAUGUGAUUCUCCCUGAGGUAUCACGUACACAAGACAGCUGAUAUGAUUCUCCCUGAGGUAUCACGUACACAAGACAGCAUGCCUGAUGUGAUUCUCCCUGAGGUAUCACGUACACAAGACAGCAUGCCUGAUGUGAUUCUCCCCGAGGUAUCACGUACAUAAGACAGCUGAUGUGAUUCUCCCUGAGGUAUCACGUACACAAGACAGC